CGCGGCGGAAGGAUUCCCUCCGCGUCGAUGUCGGGACCUCGCCACCGCAACGCGGGGUUCUCCCGACGGGAGGGGGAGCGGAGUGAAGGACAGACAUUCCUGAUCAUCCCUUUCAGUCUCAUCACCUCUCUACAGUUAACGUAAAUAGCUGAUGACCAGGAGACUGGAACAUCUUUCUUAUGAGGAAAAGCUGUAGGACCUGGAGCUCUUUAGCUUAGAAAAGAGAAGACUAAAAGGGGAUCUUAUUGAUACUAAUUUGUGCUCCUGAGUUGUUUGACUACUUCUGCGGAUCCCUCCCACUGUCAAAGAGCGCAACAAAGUUCUGUCUACUGCGAGUAAUUCAGGCUGUUGACAGGAAGAUCAUUAAGUGGGAAACACGUGAUGAAAUAUUAGGCUUGUUAAAAGUUUGAAAUGAAGUGAGUUUGUUGAAGAAAAUGAAAGGCAUGAAAUUAAGAAUUUGGUUUGCUUUUUUCUUCCUUGUAGGGUUUCUUUUUUUUUUGGAAGGGAGGUUUGCUUCUGUCUAUUGGCAAACUUUCUAAACCUUUAAUAGUACAAGGAGCAGAUAAGGUCAGUAAAGUUGUGAGAUAAGAGAUUGACUUUAUAAAAUAUACAACUCCAAACCAGGAAUUCUAAGCAUAUGUAAGGGAAAAGCUCUGAAAUACAAGCAUCUUGCAAGAACCUUAUUUGCUGUGUUGAGUAUACUUUCAUACUGCUUACUUUUUGAGGUGUGUUUCUCAGAGAGGCCACUGUAAAAGAGGCACUAGCAGUCUCUUUACAGCUGUCAGCCUCACGGGUAGGAUGCUUCUGUCCAGAGAAUAAGCAAUGAGGUUUUUAAGAUUAUUCUGCUUUUUAAAUUUAAGUAUAGAAUUUAGGCUGUAUAUUACUAUCUGAGGAGUUUAACUCCUUGUUAUUUAGGAAUUCUUCCUUAAAUUGUUACAUUCUUGGAAACUGCUGUGACUGCAAGGUUUGCUCAGAAGGCUAAUCACAUGAUUUAGAUCAAGGGAAAUGGUUAAAAGGGGAUGUUUUAGGGUCAAAGUAGGGGAAAAAAAGAUGGAAGAUCUUCUAGGAAUUUUGUUGUUUUCCUUUUCUUUUUUUUUCCAAAACUGAGCCUAAAGUAGCUUUGUACAGCAUAUUAUGAAAAUGUAUAGUUAAAAGUGGCUUUUAAAAAAAAUAUUGCCAAAUCAGGGGCUACUGGACCACAGCUGUGAGAUAAACGUGCAGUCAGUAGCACCACAGUAACAGAGCUUUGAUACUUAAAGAAAGCUUGUCAGAACUCUGUGUUCCUAGGCUUAUUGUAGGCAAGGCAUGCAAAUAAAAUUAUUUAUUACCAUUACUUUGUGGAGGGCCCUGCAGUCUGCUAGAAUUCAAGCAAGCUUCACCUAAGGUGCAUCAUUUUACUGGUUUUUAUAUUGACCCAGAUAUAGGAAAACUGAAGCCAACUGAUGUACACCAUAAAGAUAUUAACAAAAACCCCUGCCAGACCUGGAACCAAGGGAAACUGUGGUUAAUAUAUUUUCCUCCUCUGAGUAAUAACUGAGUAAUAACAGGGUCUGAGACUUUGCUCUGAGACUGGGAGACAUCAGGAGCAGGGUGGGAUGGGAUUGAGCCAUGAAAGUUAGGUAGAGACACCUGCAGGGGCAAUGCUGAUAGUAGCUAAUAUCCCAGUUGGGAUGUGUGGGGAUUUGUUUUGUGUUCAGUUGUGUUGUGUUGUGUUUUGCUUUCCUAACUCUGGAAGAA
Colius striatus (speckled mousebird) is the source of this 1737-nucleotide long non-coding RNA. RefSeq lists it as uncharacterized. The transcript is spliced from 4 exons. The record is from RefSeq and is a predicted model, not a curated record. NCBI's taxonomy places the organism in Eukaryota, Metazoa, Chordata, Aves, Coliiformes, Coliidae.